This is a long non-coding RNA of Felis catus (domestic cat), 663 nucleotides long. RefSeq lists it as uncharacterized. Lineage: Eukaryota; Metazoa; Chordata; Mammalia; Carnivora; Felidae. The transcript is spliced from 3 exons. The record is from RefSeq and is a predicted model, not a curated record.
GGGGCCCUCCGGGCCGGAGGGGCCUCCGGCGGGGCCCAAGCCCCAGGCCUGACACGCUGGGCAGAGAGAUCUCCCAGCUAAACUCUUCCUGGGGCGGCGGUUCUCAAAAGGCAACCCUUUCUUUUUGAGGCCGGUUUUGGACCAGUUGCCACUUGGGGUCCCUGUCUCCCCCAGCCAUCAGGGCCCCCAGGGGUCCCUUAUUAGAGGAGGCCCCUCGGCCAGUCAGCAUCGGGGUUGCCUCCAUCAUUACCUUCAGGUUGAUUAUGCGCGUCUGUGUGAAAGAAGGCUUGUUAACGGGUCUUUAGUACCUCAAUAGCCCUCUCCUGUGACCUGGCCUGUAUACACAACUGCGGAGUUCCGGGUUUCUCAUGACCUUGCGCCGGGCUUCGCUAGCGCGUGCGCGGUACGCACCCCGUCCGCAGGGCCUGGGCAGCUAUUUUUUUGUAGGCCUUUGGAGUUACGGCCGGUUCCAAACCCGUGCAUAGUCUGCUGGACAGAGGCAUCUCCCUGAAGCUUCUCCUAGGUUCCGUGAGGCUAGAGGAGUCUGGACCGGCUUGCGAGGAUGGGGCCUACAGUGCUGCCGAGGUCAUCCUUCGGAAAGCAACACUUAGAGAGACCAUGAGCGGGGGAGGGGCAGAGAGAGAGGGAGACACAGAAUCGGAA